CAGAAGCAAAAACGGAAAGAAUGUUACUUAAACCAAUGAUCAGAUGCAGAGAGUGGAAACACGGCAAAGCAAACAAAUGAAUACUGUGAGUAAAUAACCUGAAAGCAAAUGGGGAAGAAAACCUCCUCUGGAUAACUGUGGCUCUUGGGACAAAAAUCAGGUUCCUGGUACAUAGCCUGGCUGAGAUCAUACCUUUUCCCUGGAUCCCAGACCUGGGAUUCAGAUGUCAUUCUCUGUGUGGUGUCCUGAUUUUAUUCCUAGGAAAAGGAUCCCCAAAGGAGGUGUAAGGAUCCUGGACUCUAGUGCCUGCAAGAAGCUUCAGCCACCUUCACAGGCUCAGACUCGCCGUCCAUUAGGAGGUGAAGACUGGAUGGGAGCUGCUGGAUCGACCUUGAUAUGCCAUGUCCUUGUGUGGAUGAAGGACCUACAUCUCAGGGAUGGCCAGCAGCAGAUGUAAGAAUGUGUCCAAGAAUAGUCUGAACAACCUACACUGAUAGAUCUCAGCCGCUCAGCAGAAUGCGGGAGAGCCAAGUGCUGAUGGGCUAGAGGGGUCCCAGGAGUCACCGUGCGGCUGUGCAGCAGGUGCAGUGCCUGCAGUCACCA
Molecule: non-coding RNA, 603 nt
Organism: Chrysemys picta bellii (western painted turtle)
Lineage: Eukaryota; Metazoa; Chordata; Testudines; Emydidae
Source: RefSeq, a predicted model, not a curated record